UUCAGUUGGAAUUCGUGCUCACCCUCCUCCGUUUUGAUGGCCGGAUCUCCGGCCUACUGGUGGCCACCCAAGGGAUGUCACCGGCGAUCUUUCCCUAGGCGGUGGCCGGCUGAUCAGGCCUUUUCCGAUGGUCGCUUUUCUUUUGGGGACGGACGGCAUGAAGUGGGAACUGCCGGAUCUAGCAAACCCCUCUCCCUAAUCGGAGAGCACCGAUUUUGGGCUCCUCCUCCUCC
Molecule: long non-coding RNA, 233 nt
Filed under: Elaeis guineensis (African oil palm)
Lineage: Eukaryota; Viridiplantae; Streptophyta; Magnoliopsida; Arecales; Arecaceae
Description: long non-coding RNA (EGUI_LNC010522)
Source: RNAcentral